CCUAAAUUCAUCUUGUCUAUGGCACAGAACAUGAAUAGCACAUGAGGAAGAACACAGCGGUGAUUUUAACAUUUAUUGGUGGCAGGGGGCGAAUAUAGUUUUUCAGACAACAACAACAUUUUGUCCUGUAGGCAGUGGUUGUGACAACUGUCUCUAAGUAAACGUCUAAGUACUGUCAGAAGUAUGCAAGGAACGUCUUGACAGGACAUUUUAGUUUCACUUUUUUAGCAUGAGAUAUGCUGCUGCUCGGUUCAGGUAGACUUUUAAUAUUAACACGUUUUUAAACACAAUCGAACGAAUAUAAUAAUAUAAGAUGAGGUGUACAACAUGAGAGCGCCGCGUUCACAUUGCACUGUGGCGAGAGCGAAUUAAUUUCGAAUUCUCAUAAUAACAACACAACCGCGUCACGUGACGCGUGCACGCUCUCCCGAGUGCUUUCACGCGGUUCAUUUGGCAUAUGUGAACAAGGCAAUCCCGCGCCAAAAAAAAAAAAAAAACCGAUCCUUAACAAGACCAAAAUUCAACAUUGUAAUAAUUUGAAUCCCUGUUUGGGAACAAAGCUACCGAUCUACAGGUGUGAAACCAACCUCAGAUGAAGACAGAUUAAUUUAUGAACUCUAUAUGGACUCGUGCAGGGAGCAAUGUAGUUUGAUGGCCGAGGGAAAGUUAUGGAGGACCCGUGGAGUUGGAGGAUGCACAGACAGUGUCAGCUUCACUAUGGAGCCAAAGGAUGGCAUCUGAAAUGGCAUGCCAUAAAAAGUGCCUCGGGCCCUUUUGGCGUCGAAGGCUGUCAUAAAUGAAGUCGGCGCUCUCUGAGGAAGAGUCAGGAAUGAUGCUUAAGAAACACGUUUGUAUUGAGUUUCCACUGUAUUUUCAUUAAUGCUAAAGACUUGUUAAAUUUACAACUUUUAAAAAACAAUUAUCAUUAUGAAGUAUAUGUAUUAAACAUGUAAUUUAAACAUAUUAAUUCAUACAAACAUAUAGAAGUUUGAUAUUUUACCCGGAAAUGUGUUCUUAAGGAACACUAAUCCUUAUAAACAUUCUAAUGAUAUUUUAACAUUUAAAAAAACACAUGAUCAUUUCCAAAUUGCAUCUGUUCACGGAAUCAGAAAAGAACAUACAUUGACCCUUUAACCGGCUACAGUGUGUUCACUGAGUUUGCACAUAGAAAAAGAGGAAGAUGCUGCGGGAGUGCCUGUAGACAUUGUCCGUACGGGCAAAUUAAUGUGGAGGAUCCUACUAAGAAGAAACUUCAACUCUUUGUUUUAUGUAUAGUAGUAAAUGUUAAGAUCGGCUGAACAACUCAUUUUGUGUGUUCCCAUAUUGAAUUUGGACUUCUUUUAAUGCACAUUCGUCUUACACUCUGUUUAAAAUGAUGAAAUACGCUACACCAGAUGUGCAACCCACACUCCAGGAAAUGGUUUGAAUCACAUCUAUCCACUGUGAUUUGACUUACAGGAGUUGGUGUGCUCCUCUGUCAGAUGAAUUCCACAAGCGGGAAUUUUCGCAGUGAUGAAUAUUCAUACGGUUACAGGCGAUCUUAAUUUUGACAGCUGUCAAUUCAGACUACGUGCUUCCUCCCUGGUAAAUGUACGACCAAGAAAACACCAUGGAAAAUGAAGUCUUCUCAUAAAAUGUGUGUUGACGUUAAAUACAUAGGCUUAGAAGGCUUCGUUUCAUGUUUAAAAAACCUGUAAAAACACAAAUUAUAUUUAAAGAGUUAACAGAAGUAUUUAUUAUUAUUUUAUGUAACUUAAACUAAUUAAAAUUACCUUUCUAGAAGUUCUCAAAUGUAUUUUGGCUUUGCUUCAACAGGUCUUGUACAAUUUACAUAUGCUAUAUACAGGGUUGUUGUCAAGGCCCUGUGUAAAAAUGUCCUUAACGGCAUACACUUUGAGCUACUUUGAGGGUGCAGGAGAUUAACAAUAAAAAAUGGUCCUUGGCCCUUUCAGCAACGACUGUAUGUGUUUGAGAUUCCGUGUGCAUGUUUAUGUAUUUACGCAUAAAGAAUUGUUUAAUUGCAUAUAAAGUUUAUUCAUUCAAAGUACAUCAUAUUCAAAGUACAUCACAUUCAGUUGUUAGUGUCUGCUACCUCCUGGCCAUUAUAUGCAUCUUCAUAUUUGCCUGUCUGAUUUAUAUCUCCCUGUGGCUAACUGAGAUUGAUACUCAGGUUUUCCAUCCACUGAAACUGAUUUCAGCGCAAAAAAUGAUAUGCAAAGCCAAGUAGGAUUUUGCCCCAGGCACUGGCCGUCCAACCUGUCACACAGCAUCGCAGGGCAGGAACAAGGAAACGGUCUCUGAAUGCGGGAAUGUGUGUGUAGCAGAGCCCUGUCCCAGCUUUGCCGACUGGCGCCGAGCACGAUAUCAGGCGACGGGAGGGUCCCAAGGCGGGCACACAUUUAUCAGGAGCAAGGCCCUGUGAACGUUGACAAGGAGAUUCAUGAUCUCAACAGUUCCAGGGAGGACAGGCAGGCAAGGGGCUUGUGGCAUCGUCAGUCCGGAUGAGAG
Molecule: long non-coding RNA, 2508 nt
Organism: Cyprinus carpio carpio
Lineage: Eukaryota; Metazoa; Chordata; Actinopteri; Cypriniformes; Cyprinidae
Source: Ensembl